GUUCGAGCGUCAUUAUAACCACUCAAGCUCACGCUUGGUAUUGGGGUUCGCGUGCUCGCGGCCCUUAAAAUCAGUGGCGGUGCCGUCUGGCUCUACGCGUAGUAAUUUCUCUCGCGAUGGAGUUCCGGCGGUUGCUUGCCAAAACCCCCCUAUUUUCUCAGGUUGACCUCGGAUCAGGUAGGGAUACCCGCUGAACUUAA
RNAcentral lists this unclassified non-coding RNA (200 nucleotides) under soil metagenome. RNAcentral describes it as "partial contains internal transcribed spacer 2 and large subunit ribosomal RNA". The record is from RNAcentral.